AGCGAACGCUGGCGGCAGGCUUAACACAUGCAAGUCGAGCGGGCACUUUCGGGUGUCAGCGGCGGACGGGUGAGUAACGCGUGGGAACGUGCCCUCUGGUUCGGAAUAACUCAGGGAAACUUGAGCUAAUACCGGAUACGCCCUUUUGGGGAAAGGCUUGCUGCCGGAGGAUCGGCCCGCGUCUGAUUAGCUAGUUGGUGAGGUAACGGCUCACCAAGGCGACGAUCAGUAGCUGGUCUGAGAGGAUGAUCAGCCACACUGGGACUGAGACACGGCCCAGACUCCUACGGGAGGCAGCAGUGGGGAAUAUUGGACAAUGGGCGCAAGCCUGAUGCAGCCAUGCCGCGUGAGUGAUGAAGGCCUUAGGGUUGUAAAGCUCUUUUAUCCGGGACGAUAAUGACGGUACCGGAGGAAUAAGCCCCGGCUAACUUCGUG
This 435-nucleotide ribosomal RNA is filed under the name uncultured bacterium. RNAcentral describes it as "partial 16S ribosomal RNA". It matches the Rfam family "Bacterial small subunit ribosomal RNA", at positions 29 to 507 of the family's 1533-position model. The record is from RNAcentral.